This 457-nucleotide ribosomal RNA is filed under the name uncultured Oxalobacteraceae bacterium. RNAcentral's name for it is "bacterial SSU rRNA". It matches the Rfam family "Bacterial small subunit ribosomal RNA", at positions 342 to 791 of the family's 1533-position model. The record is from RNAcentral. Lineage: Bacteria; Pseudomonadati; Pseudomonadota; Betaproteobacteria; Burkholderiales; Oxalobacteraceae.
CGGGGGGCAGCAGUGGGGAAUUUUGGACAAUGGGGGCAACCCUGAUCCAGCAAUGCCGCGUGUGUGAAGAAGGCCUUCGGGUUGUAAAGCACUUUUGUCAGGAACGAAACGGUGGGGGCUAAUAUCCUCUGCUAAUGACGGUACCUGAAGAAUAAGCACCGGCUAACUACGUGCCAGCAGCCGCGGUAAUACGUAGGGUGCAAGCGUUAAUCGGAAUUACUGGGCGUAAAGCGUGCGCAGGCGGUUGUGCAAGACAGAUGUGAAAUCCCCGGGCUUAACCUGGGAAUUGCAUUUGUGACUGCACGGCUAGAGUGUGUCAGAGGGGGGUAGAAUUCCACGUGUAGCAGUGAAAUGCGUAGAUAUGUGGAGGAAUACCGAUGGCGAAGGCAGCCCCCUGGGAUAACACUGACGCUCAUGCACGAAAGCGUGGGGAGCAAACAGGAUUAGAUACCCCAGU